UUCCUGUCCAACGUUAAUCGGGGCAGGGUGAGUCGACCCCUAAGGCGAGGCCGAAAGGCGUAGUCGAUGGGAAACAGGUUAAUAUUCCUGUACUUGGUGUUACUGCGAAGGGGGGACGGAGAAGGCUAUGUUGGCCGGGCGACGGUUGUCCCGGUUUAAGCGUGUAGGCUGGUUUUCCAGGCAAAUCCGGAAAAUCAAGGCUGAGGCGUGAUGACGAGGCACUACGGUGCUGAAGCAACAAAUGCCCUGCUUCCAGGAAAAGCCUCUAAGCAUCAGGUAACAUCAAAUCGUACCCCAAACCGACACAGGUGGUCAGGUAGAGAAUACCAAGGCGCUUGAGAGAACUCGGGUGAAGGAACUAGGCAAAAUGGUGCCGUAACU
Molecule: ribosomal RNA, 381 nt
Filed under: Escherichia coli
Lineage: Bacteria; Pseudomonadati; Pseudomonadota; Gammaproteobacteria; Enterobacterales; Enterobacteriaceae
Description: partial 23S ribosomal RNA
Rfam family: Bacterial large subunit ribosomal RNA
Source: RNAcentral